RNAcentral lists this ribosomal RNA (253 nucleotides) under uncultured bacterium. RNAcentral describes it as "partial 16S ribosomal RNA". It matches the Rfam family "Bacterial small subunit ribosomal RNA", at positions 524 to 776 of the family's 1533-position model. The record is from RNAcentral.
UACGAGAGGCCCAAACGUUAUUCGGAAUUACUGGGCUUAAAGAGUUCGUAGGCGGCAUUGCAAGUAGGGUGUGAAAGCCCUCGGCUCAACCGAGGAAUUGCGCUCUAAACUGCAGUGCUCGAGGAAGCUAGAGGUGAGCAGAACAGGUGGUGGAGCGGUGAAAUGCGUUGAUAUCAUCUGGAAUACCGGAGGCGAAGGCGGCUCACUGGGGCUUUUCUGACGCUGAGGAACGAAAGCCAGGGUAGCGAACGGG